Long non-coding RNA from Saccostrea cuccullata (small rock oyster), 352 nucleotides. RefSeq lists it as uncharacterized. The transcript is spliced from 2 exons. The record is from RefSeq and is a predicted model, not a curated record. NCBI's taxonomy places the organism in Eukaryota, Metazoa, Mollusca, Bivalvia, Ostreida, Ostreidae.
CUAGUGUCCAUAGAUACAGAAAACAAAACCAGUCUGGUCACAGAACUAAUAAACUCUGGCCUUGGAUCCAGCGUGAUCCGAUUUUGGAUUGGCCUUAGUGACCGGGAGACGGAAGGGACCUUUAAGUGGGUCACUGGGCAUCCUCUGGUAUAUUCUAACUGGAACCCUGGUCAACCCAACGAUUACUACAACAAAUGUGUGACGAAUUCGUCCGACGCGGACUGCGCCAUCACAAGAACAGAUGGCAGAUGGGCUGAUGACUGCUGUGAAACCCCUCAUGGAUUUAUCUGUGAAAUCAUUUGAAGACAUUCUACAAACUAUACACAAUUAAGUAAACACAACUCUUUGGAGA